AAAGUGAUGAUUAUUUGUUCUCAUCAUAAGUUGAUUUAUUGAUGAAUGAAUGUCCUCUAAGAAGUACUGAUUGU
This is a small nucleolar RNA of Oppia nitens, 74 nucleotides long. RefSeq annotates it as small nucleolar RNA SNORD61. The transcript has a single exon. NCBI's taxonomy places the organism in Eukaryota, Metazoa, Arthropoda, Arachnida, Sarcoptiformes, Oppiidae. The record is from RefSeq and is a predicted model, not a curated record.